Molecule: transfer RNA, 68 nt
Filed under: Dipodomys ordii (Ord's kangaroo rat)
Lineage: Eukaryota; Metazoa; Chordata; Mammalia; Rodentia; Heteromyidae
Rfam family: tRNA
About the family: Transfer RNA (tRNA) molecules are approximately 80 nucleotides in length. Their secondary structure includes four short double-helical elements and three loops (D, anti-codon, and T loops). Further hydrogen bonds mediate the characteristic L-shaped molecular structure. tRNAs have two regions of fundamental functional importance: the anti-codon, which is responsible for specific mRNA codon recognition, and the 3' end, to which the tRNAs corresponding amino acid is attached (by aminoacyl-tRNA synthetases). tRNAs cope with the degeneracy of the genetic code in two manners: having more than one tRNA (with a specific anti-codon) for a particular amino acid; and 'wobble' base-pairing, i.e. permitting non-standard base-pairing at the 3rd anti-codon position.
Source: Rfam by way of RNAcentral
GGUGGCUCAGUGGUAGAGUGCUUGCCUAGCAUGCAUGAAGCCCUGGGUUCAAUUCCUCAGUACCACCA